RNAcentral lists this long non-coding RNA (892 nucleotides) under Anas platyrhynchos platyrhynchos (common mallard). Its description in RNAcentral is "lncRNA (ENSAPLG00000027257.1)". Lineage: Eukaryota; Metazoa; Chordata; Aves; Anseriformes; Anatidae. The record is from RNAcentral.
CUGCACCGUGCUGUCAGGAGCCCUCUGCCUCGCAUGCCCGGGACACAAGCAGCCGGCACCACGGCCCUACACCUUGUCGGAUAGCACUGCCCCCAGGGCGUGCAGACGUUGCAAGCAACAACACAACAGCCUGCCCUGUCAUGUAGCAUUACUUACGUGUUCAGAUAUGCAUCCUUCUCACAUUUCUACUCCAGCAAGUGGUUGCUAGCAGAGCAGGGCUAGGACAAGUUCACCACCUGCUAAAGACAUGUCCCUAAUACAACACAGCGACGAUUUUGUUACAUCGGGUCCUUUCUGUGCACAGCUCAAGCACAAGGAAAGAACAUACGUGAGAGAACAGAAGCACAUCGAUCGAGGCGCUGAAAGAAAGCGGGGAGAGAGCUGGCAUCGAGGGCAGGCUCAGGCAAGAGCAUUGACUUCAACCCUACCUCCAUGCAACGCAAGGACUCCAAGCAGAGGAAUCCCUGCUCCAGCCCUUCCUGGGGCAUUCACGCCACCGAUAACGCCUUGCAAAAUCCAGAGCGGCCCAGGCAAAACCAGGCACGGUGCUGUACCAGGAGACUCAGAAGGGCCACGCAGACCGGAGGCGAUGUCCACGACGUGCCCGAUGCCAGCACGAGCACUGACAGCAGCGCUGGGGCCAACCCAAGCGGGGGACGACCCCGCACCACCGGGGCCGGCCACCGACGACCCCACAGAGCCUCGGGGACCAGCUCCGCGUGGGUCCCUCCACCUGCCCCGUGCCCGGGCCCUUUUUUCCUCAACUUCCUCGCCCGUCGAGGAUGGCACCGGCGCCGCUCCCGGGGGAGCCCCGGCGCCUCCUGCGGGGCUCGGAGCCCGACAGCGCGUCCCGGGGGGGGCGGAACAAUGGGGGAGCAGCGGCGGCGGGGCA